This 518-nucleotide ribosomal RNA is filed under the name Pseudomonas mandelii. RNAcentral's name for it is "bacterial SSU rRNA". The record is from RNAcentral. Lineage: Bacteria; Pseudomonadati; Pseudomonadota; Gammaproteobacteria; Pseudomonadales; Pseudomonadaceae.
GGCGAGCGGCGGACGGGUGAGUAAUGCCUAGGAAUCUGCCUGGUAGUGGGGGAUAACGCUCGGAAACGGACGCUAAUACCGCAUACGUCCUACGGGAGAAAGCAGGGGACCUUCGGGCCUUGCGCUAUCAGAUGAGCCUAGGUCGGAUUAGCUAGUUGGUGAGGUAAUGGCUCACCAAGGCGACGAUCCGUAACUGGUCUGAGAGGAUGAUCAGUCACACUGGAACUGAGACACGGUCCAGACUCCUACGGGAGGCAGCAGUGGGGAAUAUUGGACAAUGGGCGAAAGCCUGAUCCAGCCAUGCCGCGUGUGUGAAGAAGGUCUUCGGAUUGUAAAGCACUUUAAGUUGGGAGGAAGGGCAKUUACCUAAUACGUAAYUGUUUUGACGUUACCGACAGAAUAAGCACCGGCUAACUCUGUGCCAGCAGCCGCGGUAAUACRGAGGGUGCARGCGUUAAUCGGAAUUACUGGGCGUAAAGCGCGCGUAGGUGGUUCGUUAAGUUGGAUGUGAAAUCCCC